GCACCACUGGGCAUUGACGGCAUUUUUCAGCUAAUUGGCCGGUGUUUUGGUUUCGAUUUGGCCAUAUGUGGGUUUAGAAUCGAAUUCAGAGCCAAAGAGAUUUUUUUUACCUCAUUUGGCGGCCGAAAAGUGCUCUGGUGCGGCGGCGGGUGGCGGCGGUCGGUUCUCGGGUGGCUGGGCUGUCUUCUUCGGUGAGGGCUCUGGCGGCUAGGGUUAGGGUUUGGGUGUGGGUGAGAUUAUUUAUAACCUUCUACUUUUAAUCUGAGCUGUCCAUCGCGAUUUAAUCUGAACC
RNAcentral lists this long non-coding RNA (292 nucleotides) under Carica papaya (papaya). RNAcentral's name for it is "long non-coding RNA (CPAP_LNC001595)". Lineage: Eukaryota; Viridiplantae; Streptophyta; Magnoliopsida; Brassicales; Caricaceae. The record is from RNAcentral.